UAGAGUUUGAUCCUGGCUCAGGAUGAACGCUAGCUACAGGCUUAACACAUGCAAGUCGAGGGGAAACGGCAUUGAGUGCUUGCACUCUUUGGACGUCGACCGGCGCACGGGUGAGUAACGCGUAUCCAACCUUCCCAUUACUGUGGGAUAACCUGCCGAAAGGCAGACUAAUACCGCAUAGUCUUCGAUGACGGCAUCAGAUUUGAAGUAAAGAUUUAUCGGUAAUGGAUGGGGAUGCGUCUGAUUAGCUUGUUGGCGGGGUAACGGCCACCAAGGCGACGAUCAGUAGGGGUUCUGAGAGGAAGGUCCCCCACAUUGGAACUGAGACACGGUCCAAACUCCUACGGGAGGCAGCAGUGAGGAAUAUUGGUCAAUGGACGGAAGUCUGAACCAGCCAAGUAGCGUGCAGGAUGACGGCCCUAUGGGUUGUAAACUGCUUUUGUAUGGGGGUAAAGUUAGGGACGUGUCCCUAUUUGCAGGUACCAUACGAAUAAGGACCGGCUAAUUCCGUGCCAGCAGCCGCGGUAAUACGGAAGGUCCAGGCGUUAUCCGGAUUUAUUGGGUUUAAAGGGAGCGUAGGCUGGAGAUUAAGUGUGUUGUGAAAUGUAGACGCUCAACGUCUGAAUUGCAGCGCAUACUGGUUUCCUUGAGUACGCACAACGUUGGCGGAAUUCGUCGUGUAGCGGUGAAAUGCUUAGAUAUGACGAAGAACUCCGAUUGCGAAGGCAGCUGACGGGAGCGCAACUGACGCUUAAACUCGAAGGUGCGGGUAUCAAACAGGAUUAGAUACCCUGGUAGUCCGCACAGUA
Molecule: ribosomal RNA, 809 nt
Filed under: uncultured bacterium
Lineage: Bacteria
Description: bacterial SSU rRNA
Rfam family: Bacterial small subunit ribosomal RNA
Source: RNAcentral